Molecule: ribosomal RNA, 507 nt
Filed under: uncultured bacterium
Lineage: Bacteria
Description: partial 16S ribosomal RNA
Rfam family: Bacterial small subunit ribosomal RNA
Source: RNAcentral
GAUGAACGCUAGCGGCAGGCUUAAUACAUGCAAGUCGAGGGGCAGCAGGUCCCGCAGCAAUGCGGGAUGCUGGCGACCGGCAAACGGGUGCGGAACACGUACAGAACCUUCCUUUAAGUGGGGAAUAGCCCGGGGAAACCCGGAUUAAUACCCCGUAACAUAAUGAAGCGGCAUCACUUUAUUAUUAUAGCAGCAAUGCGCUUGAAGAUGGCUGUGCGGCUGAUUAGGUAGUUGGCGGGGUAACGGCCACCAAGCCUACGAUCAGUAACUGGUGUGAGAGCACGACCAGUCACACGGGCACUGAGACACGGGCCCGACUCCUACGGGAGGCAGCAGUAAGGAAUAUUGGGCAAUGGACACAAGUCUGACCCAGCCAUGCCGCGUGGAGGAUGAAGGUCCUCUGGAUUGUAAACUUCUUUUAUCUGGGAAGAAAUCUAUUUUUUCUAAAGUAGUUGACGGUACCAGAUGAAUAAGCACCGGCUAACUCCGUGCCAGCCGCCGCGGUAA